GGAGAGUAGAGGGGGAUAAUAGAGGUGGAGAGUAGAGGAGUAUAAUAGAGGAGGAGUGUAGAGGAGGAUAAUAGAGGUGGAGAGUAGAGGAGGAUAAUAGAGGUGUAGAGUAGAGGAGGAUAAUAGAGGUGGGGAAUAGAGGAGGAUACAGGUGGAGAGUAGAGGAGGAUAAUAGAGGAGGAGUGUAGAGGAGGAUAAUAGAGGUGGGGAAUAGAGGAGGAUAAUAGAGGUGGAGAGUAGAGGAGGAGAGUAGAAGAGGAUAAUAGAGGUGUAGAGUAGAGGAGGAGAGUAGAAGAGGAUAAUAGAGGUGUAGAGUAGAGGAGGAUAAUAGAGGUGGGGAAUAGAGGGGGAUAAUAGAGGUGGAGAGUAGAGGUGGAGAGUAGAAGAGGAUAAUAGAGGUGUAGAGUAGAGGAGGAUAAUAGAGGUGGGGAAUAGAGGGGGAUAGAGGUGGAGAGUAGAGGAGGAGAGUAGAGGUGGAGAGUAGAGGAGCAUAAUAGAGGAGGAGAGUAGAGGAGUAUAAUAGAAGUGGAGAGUAGAAGGGGAUAAAAGAGGAGGAGAGUAGAGGAGGAUAAUAGAGGUGGAGAGUAGAGGAGGAUAAUAGAGGUGGGGAAUAAAGGAGGAUAGAGGUGGAGAGUAGAUAAGUAUAAUAGAGGAGGAGAGUAGAGGAGUAUAAAAGAGGUGGAGAGUAGAAGGGGAUUAAAAAGGAGGAGAGUAGAGGAGGAUAAUAGAGGAGGAGAGUAGAGGAGGAUAAAGAGGUGGAGAGUAGAGGAGGAUAAAAGAGGAGGAUAAUAGAGGUG
Oncorhynchus tshawytscha (Chinook salmon) is the source of this 797-nucleotide long non-coding RNA. NCBI's taxonomy places the organism in Eukaryota, Metazoa, Chordata, Actinopteri, Salmoniformes, Salmonidae. The record is from Ensembl.